UGAUGUCAGCUUCUGUUAGCAGCCU
Molecule: non-coding RNA, 25 nt
Filed under: Mus musculus (house mouse)
Lineage: Eukaryota; Metazoa; Chordata; Mammalia; Rodentia; Muridae
Source: RNAcentral